RNAcentral lists this ribosomal RNA (254 nucleotides) under uncultured bacterium. Its description in RNAcentral is "partial 16S ribosomal RNA". It matches the Rfam family "Bacterial small subunit ribosomal RNA", at positions 524 to 776 of the family's 1533-position model. The record is from RNAcentral.
UACGGGGGGAGCAAGCGUUGUUCGGAUUUACUGGGCGUAAAGGGCGCGUAGGCGGCGACUUCAAGUCAGUUGUGAAAUCUCCGGGCUUAACCCGGAAAGGUCAACUGAUACUGCAGGGCUAGAGUGCAGAAGGGGCAACUGGAAUUCUCGGUGUAGCGGUGAAAUGCGUAGAUAUCGAGAGGAACACCUGCGGCGAAGGCGGGUUGCUGGGCUGACACUGACGCUGAGGCGCGAAAGCGUGGGGAGCGAACAGG